RNAcentral lists this ribosomal RNA (1682 nucleotides) under Salmonella enterica subsp. enterica serovar Paratyphi A. RNAcentral's name for it is "bacterial SSU rRNA". It matches the Rfam family "Bacterial small subunit ribosomal RNA". Lineage: Bacteria; Pseudomonadati; Pseudomonadota; Gammaproteobacteria; Enterobacterales; Enterobacteriaceae. The record is from RNAcentral.
GACGAAAAAUGAAUACCAAGUCUCAAGAGUGAACACGUAAUUCAUUACGAAGUUUAAUUCAUUGAGCAUCAAACUUUUAAAUUGAAGAGUUUGAUCAUGGCUCAGAUUGAACGCUGGCGGCAGGCCUAACACAUGCAAGUCGAACGGUAACAGGAAGCAGCUUGCUGCUUUGCUGACGAGUGGCGGACGGGUGAGUAAUGUCUGGGAAACUGCCUGAUGGAGGGGGAUAACUACUGGAAACGGUGGCUAAUACCGCAUAACGUCGCAAGACCAAAGAGGGGGACCUUCGGGCCUCUUGCCAUCAGAUGUGCCCAGAUGGGAUUAGCUUGUUGGUGAGGUAACGGCUCACCAAGGCGACGAUCCCUAGCUGGUCUGAGAGGAUGACCAGCCACACUGGAACUGAGACACGGUCCAGACUCCUACGGGAGGCAGCAGUGGGGAAUAUUGCACAAUGGGCGCAAGCCUGAUGCAGCCAUGCCGCGUGUAUGAAGAAGGCCUUCGGGUUGUAAAGUACUUUCAGCGGGGAGGAAGGUGUUGUGGUUAAUAACCGCAGCAAUUGACGUUACCCGCAGAAGAAGCACCGGCUAACUCCGUGCCAGCAGCCGCGGUAAUACGGAGGGUGCAAGCGUUAAUCGGAAUUACUGGGCGUAAAGCGCACGCAGGCGGUCUGUCAAGUCGGAUGUGAAAUCCCCGGGCUCAACCUGGGAACUGCAUUCGAAACUGGCAGGCUUGAGUCUUGUAGAGGGGGGUAGAAUUCCAGGNNNNNNNNNNNNNNNNNNNNGUGAAAUGCGUAGAGAUCUGGAGGAAUACCGGUGGCGAAGGCGGCCCCCUGGACAAAGACUGACGCUCAGGUGCGAAAGCGUGGGGAGCAAACAGGAUUAGAUACCCUGGUAGUCCACGCCGUAAACGAUGUCUACUUGGAGGUUGUGCCCUUGAGGCGUGGCUUCCGGAGCUAACGCGUUAAGUAGACCGCCUGGGGAGUACGGCCGCAAGGUUAAAACUCAAAUGAAUUGACGGGGGCCCGCACAAGCGGUGGAGCAUGUGGUUUAAUUCGAUGCAACGCGAAGAACCUUACCUGGUCUUGACAUCCACGGAAGUUUUCAGAGAUGAGAAUGUGCCUUCGGGAACCGUGAGACAGGUGCUGCAUGGCUGUCGUCAGCUCGUGUUGUGAAAUGUUGGGUUAAGUCCCGCAACGAGCGCAACCCUUAUCCUUUGUUGCCAGCGGUCCGGCCGGGAACUCAAAGGAGACUGCCAGUGAUAAACUGGAGGAAGGUGGGGAUGACGUCAAGUCAUCAUGGCCCUUACGACCAGGGCUACACACGUGCUACAAUGGCGCAUACAAAGAGAAGCGACCUCGCGAGAGCAAGCGGACCUCAUAAAGUGCGUCGUAGUCCGGAUUGGAGUCUGCAACUCGACUCCAUGAAGUCGGAAUCGCUAGUAAUCGUGGAUCAGAAUGCCACGGUGAAUACGUUCCCGGGCCUUGUACACACCGCCCGUCACACCAUGGGAGUGGGUUGCAAAAGAAGUAGGUAGCUUAACCUUCGGGAGGGCGCUUACCACUUUGUGAUUCAUGACUGGGGUGAAGUCGUAACAAGGUAACCGUAGGGGAACCUGCGGUUGGAUCACCUCCUUACCUUAAAGAAGCGUACUUUGCAGUGCUCACACAGAUUGUCUGAUGAAAA